This 57-nucleotide small RNA is filed under the name Caenorhabditis elegans. RNAcentral's name for it is "Unclassified non-coding RNA W02B8.12". The record is from RNAcentral. Lineage: Eukaryota; Metazoa; Nematoda; Chromadorea; Rhabditida; Rhabditidae.
AUGCGGUGUAAAUUUACAACCAAUAUAUACUCUUUCUCUCCACUCUCUCCUCUCGUU